RNAcentral lists this ribosomal RNA (1405 nucleotides) under Daptonema normandicum. RNAcentral's name for it is "SSU rRNA". It matches the Rfam family "Eukaryotic small subunit ribosomal RNA", at positions 33 to 1472 of the family's 1831-position model. The record is from RNAcentral. Lineage: Eukaryota; Metazoa; Nematoda; Chromadorea; Monhysterida; Xyalidae.
UGUCUCAAAGAUUAAGCCAUGCAUGUCUAAGCAUAAACUGAACUAAAGUAAAGCCGCGAAUAGCUCAUUACAACAGCCGUUGUUUCUUGGAUCUCCGCAAUACUUGGAUAACUGAGGUAAUUCUUGAGCUAAUACACGCAAUCGAGCUCUGACCUUUGGGACGAGUGCAUUUAUUAGAACAAAACCAAUCGGUGCUUGCACUGUGGUUUGGUGAAUCUGAAUAACUGAGCAGAUCGCUUCGGUCUCGUACCGGCGAUGUAUCCUUCAAGUGUCUGCCUUAUCAACUUUCGAUGGUAGUUUAUGUGCCUACCAUGGUUGUAACGGGUAACGGAGAAUUAGGGUUCGAUUCCGGAGAGGGAGCCUGAGAAACGGCUACCACUUCCAAGGAAGGCAGCAGGCGCGCAAAUUACCCACUCUCGGCACGAGGAGGUAGUGACGAAAAAUAACGAGACGAUUCUCUUUUGAGUAUCGUCAUCGGAAUGAGAACAAUCCAAAUCCUUUAACGAGGACCUAGCGGAGGGCAAGUCUGGUGCCAGCAGCCGCGGUAAUUCCAGCUCCGCCAGUGUAUAUCUAUGCUGCUGCGGUUAAAAAGCUCGUAGUUGGAUCUGCGUGCCACGGUCGGGUCCGUCUGUUAGACGUGCACUCGCGCCGGGCACUGAAACGUUGGUUUUCUCUUGGUGGCCUUCACCGGUUGCCCUGAGUGACUAACAUGUUUACUUUGAAAAAAUUAGAGUGCUUAAAACAAGCGUUUUGCUUGAAUAUUCGUGCAUGGAAUAAUAGAAUAGGACCUCGGUUCUAUUUUGUUGGUUUUCGGAACACGAGGUAAUGAUUAAGAGGGACAGACGGGGGCAUUCGUAUUGCGACGUUAGAGGUGAAAUUCUUGGAUCGUCGCAAGACGGCCUACUGCGAAAGCAUUUGCCAAGAAUGUUUUCAUUAAUCAAGAACGAAAGUUAGAGGUUCGAAGGCGAUCAGAUACCGCCCUAGUUCUAACCGUAAACGAUGCCAACUAGCGAUCAACGGGUGUUACUUAAGACCCUGUUGGGAGCUUCCCGGAAACGAAAGUUUUCAGGUUCCGGGGGAAGUAUGGUUGCAAAGCUGAAACUUAAAGGAAUUGACGGAAGGGCACCACCAGGAGUGGAGCCUGCGGCUUAAUUUGACUCAACACGGGAAAACUCACCCGGCCCGACACCGUAAGGAUUGACAGAUUGAGAGCUCUUUCUUGAUUCGGUGGGUGGUGGUGCAUGGCCGUUCUUAGUUGGUGGAUUGAUUUGUCUGGUUUAUUCCGAUAACGAACGAGACUCCAACCUACUAACUAGUGGGCAGAUCUUCAUGUCUGCAACACUUCUUAGAGGGACAAGUGGUGUUUAGCCACAUGAGAAGGAGCAAUAACAGGUCUGUGAUGCCC